UUCCACGGAUUCCGUGACGCAGCUAACGCAUUAAGUUCCCCGCCUGGGGAGUACGGCCGCAAGGCUAAAACUCAAAGGAAUUGACGGGGACCCGCACAAGCGGCGGAGCAUGCGGAUUAAUUCGAUGCAACGCGAAGAACCUUACCAAGGCUUGACAUAUAGAGGAAACGUCUGGAAACAGUCGCCCCGCAAGGUCUCUAUACAGGUGGUGCAUGGUUGUCGUCAGCUCGUGUCGUGAGAUGUUGGGUUAAGUCCCGCAACGAGCGCAACCCUCGUUCUAUGUUGCCAGCACGUAAUGGUGGGAACUCAUGGGAUACUGCCGGGGUCAACUCGGAGGAAGGUGGGGAUGACGUCAAAUCAUCAUGCCCCUUAUGUCUUGGGCUUCACGCAUGCUACAAUGGCCGGUACAAAGGGCUGCAAUACCGUAAGGUGGAGCGAAUCCCAAAAAGCCGGUCCCAGUUCGGAUUGAGGUCUGCAACUCGACCUCAUGAAGUCGGAGUCGCUAGUAAUCGCAGAUCAGCAACGCUGCGGUGAAUACGUUCCCGGGUCUUGUACACACCGCCCGUCAAGUCAUGAAAGUCGGUAACACCUGAAGCCGGUGGCCCAACCCUUGUGGAGGGAGCCGUCGAAGGUGGGAUCGGUAAUUAGGACUAAGUCGUAACAAGGUAA
This 669-nucleotide ribosomal RNA is filed under the name uncultured Actinomycetes bacterium. RNAcentral describes it as "bacterial SSU rRNA". It matches the Rfam family "Bacterial small subunit ribosomal RNA", at positions 830 to 1499 of the family's 1533-position model. The record is from RNAcentral. Lineage: Bacteria; Bacillati; Actinomycetota; Actinomycetes.